This 440-nucleotide ribosomal RNA is filed under the name uncultured bacterium. Its description in RNAcentral is "partial 16S ribosomal RNA". It matches the Rfam family "Bacterial small subunit ribosomal RNA", at positions 338 to 795 of the family's 1533-position model. The record is from RNAcentral.
CCUACGGGUGGCAGCAGUGGGGAAUAUUGCACAAUGGGGGAAACCCUGAUGCAGCGACGCCGCGUGAGCGAUGAAGUAUUUCGGUAUGUAAAGCUCUAUCAGCCGGGAAGAAAAUGACGGUACCUGACUCAGAAGCACCGGCUAACUACGUGCCAGCAGCCGCGGUAAUACGUAGGGGGCAAGCGUUAUCCGGAUUUACUGGGUGUAAAGGGAGCGUAGACGGCUGUGCAAGCCAGAUGUGAAAGCCCGGGGCUCAACCCCGGGACUGCAUUUGGAACUGGGUGGCUGGAGUGUCGGAGAGGCAGGCGGAAUUCCUGGUGUAGCGGUGAAAUGCGUAGAUAUUAGGAGGAACACCAGUGGCGAAGGCGGCCUGCUGGACGAAGACUGACGUUGAGGCUCGAAAGCGUGGGGAGCAAACAGGAUUAGAUACCCGUGUAGUC